GACGAACGCUGGCGGCGUGCUUAACACAUGCAAGUCGAACGGUGAAGCGCCUUCCUUUUUGGUGGGUGUGGAUGAGUGGCGAACGGGUGAGUAACACGUGAGUAACCUGCCCCCUUCUUCUGGAUAACCGCAUGAAAGUGUGGCUAAUACGGGAUAUUCUGGGUCUGUCGCAUGAUGGGUCUGGGAAAGAUAUUGUUUCGGUGGGGGAUGGGCUCGCGGUCUAUCAGCUUGUUGGUGGGGUGAUGGCCUACCAAGGCGGUGACGGGUAGCCGGCCUGAGAGGGUGGACGGUCACACUGGGACUGAGACACGGCCCAGACUCCUACGGGAGGCAGCAGUGGGGAAUAUUGCACAAUGGGCGCAAGCCUGAUGCAGCGACGCCGCGUGAGGGAUGGAGGCCUGCGGGUUGUGAACCUCUUUCGCCAGUGAAGCAGGCCUGCCUCGUUUGUGGGUGGGUUGACGGUAGCUGGAUAAGAAGCGCCGGCUAACUACGUG
This 494-nucleotide ribosomal RNA is filed under the name uncultured bacterium. Its description in RNAcentral is "partial 16S ribosomal RNA". It matches the Rfam family "Bacterial small subunit ribosomal RNA", at positions 28 to 507 of the family's 1533-position model. The record is from RNAcentral.